GAAAGUAAGCAAGGGCAGACGGUGGAUGCCUUGGCUCUCGGAGGCGACGAAGGACGUGAUAAGCUGCGAAAAGCUCGGGGGAGGCGCAAAUAGCCGUUGAUCCCGGGAUAUCCGAAUGGGGCAACCCGGCAGGCUGAAGGCCUGCCAUCCCGUAAGGGAGGCGAACGUGGGGAACUGAAACAUCUAAGUACCCAUAGGAGGAGAAAAUAAACAAUGAUUCCGUAAGUAGUGGCGAGCGAACACGGAAGAGCCCAAACCCGUGCCGUCUAGGCGACACGGGGGUUGUAGGACCACGACGUGGCAAGAAGGAAGGGAAAUGGAACGACUUGGAAAAGUCGGCCAUAGACGGUGAAAGCCCGGUACAUGACUCCCUUACGAAGCCUAGUGGUAUCCUGAGUAGCGCGGGGCACGAGAAAUCUUGCGUGAAUUAGCGGGGCCCAUCCCGUAAGGCUAAAUACUCCCGAGAGACCGAUAGCGAACCAGUACCGUGAGGGAAAGGUGAAAAGAACCCCGAGCAGGGGAGUGAAAUAGACCCUGAACCCGUCUGCCUACAAGCGGUCGGAGCGUCGUAAUGACGUGACGGCGUGCCUUUUGCAUAAUGAACCUACGAGUUACCUUCCCCGGCAAGGUUAAGUACCUAAGGUACGGAGCCGAAGCGAAAGCGAGUCUGAACAGGGCGCCAAGUCGGGGGGGGUAGACGCGAAACCGAGUGAUCUACCCUUGGCCAGGUUGAAGGUUGGGUAACACCAACUGGAGGACCGGAUGGGUAAGCGUUGAAAAGCUUUCCAAUGAGCUGAGGGUAGGGGUGAAAGGCUAAUCAAACUCGGAGAUAGCUCGUACUCCCCGAAAUGCAUUUAGGUGCAGCCUCUUUAUAGUAUAUCGUGAGGUAGAGCGACUGAUUGGAUGCGAGGGCUUCACCGCCUAUCAAGUCCAGAUAAACUCCGAAUGCGCGAUAUAUAUUUACAGGGAGUGAGGGCGCGGGUGCUAAGGUCCGUGUCCGAGAGGAGAAGAAUCCAGACCACCGGCUAAGGCCCCCAAAUGAUCGUUAAGUUGAACUAACGAGGUCGGAUCGCAGAGACAGCUAGGAUGUUGGCUUGGAAGCAGCCAUUCAUUUAAAGAGUGCGUAACAGCUCACUAGUCGAGCGAUCUGGCGUGGAUAAUAAUCGGGCAUAAACGAUCUGCCGAAGCCGUGGAUGUCGCAAGACAUGGUAGGGGAGCAUUCCAUGCGGCGUCGAAGAUGAGGGAUGACCCUUGUUGGAGCGCAUGGAAAAGCAAAUGUAGGUAUGAGUAACGAUAAGGGGGGCGAGAAACCCCCCCGCCGAAAGACCAAGGUUUCCUGAUCAACGCUAAUCGGAUCAGGGUGAGUCGGGACCUAAGGCAAAGCCGAACGGCGCCGCCGAUGGAAGAAUGGGUUAAUAUUCCCAUACUGCCUCAUGGAGUGACGUGGAGACGGAGAAGUGACAGUCCUGCCGGCUGACGGAAUAGCCGGUUGAAGGGUGUAGAUAUUGAUUCCCGUAGGCAAAUCCGCGGGGAGAGUCGAACCUGAGAGUAUACGGAGCGCUUGCGCGACGUAAUAUGGACGUAACCAUGCUCCCGAGAAAAUCCGCUAAACUUAUCCAUGCGGCACCCGUACCGUAAACGGACACACGUGGUCGGGUUGAGAAUACUGAGGCGCUCGAGUGAUUCACGGUUAAGGAACUAGGCAAAUUGACCCUGUAACUUCGGGAUAAAGGGUCCUCGUCGUAAGGCGAGGCGCAGAGAAUAGGUCCAGGCAACUGUUUAACAAAAACACAUGGCUGUGCUAAAUGGAAACAUGACGUAUACAGCCUGACACCUGCCCGGUGCCGGAAGGUUAAGAGGAGAUGUCAUCCGCGAGGAGAAGCGUUGAAUUGAAGCCCCGGUAAACGGCGGCCGUAACUAUAACGGUCCUAAGGUAGCGAAAUUCCUUGUCGGGUAAGUUCCGACCUGCACGAAUGGUGUAAUGAUCUGGACACUGUCUCAACCGUGAGCUCGGUGAAAUUGUAGUAUCGGUGAAGAUGCCGAUUACCCGCGAUGGGACGAAAAGACCCCGUGAACCUUUACUAUAGCUUUACAUUGAGUUUGGGCAGACGAUGUGUAGGAUAGGCCGGAGGCUUUGAAGCAGGUACGCCAGUAUUUGUGGAGCCGACGUUGAAAUACGGCCCUUCGGUUGUUUGAGUUCUAACUCCUAGUUAGGAGGACACUGUAUGGUGGGUAGUUUGACUGGGGUGGUCGCCUCCAAAAGCGUAACGGAGGCUUCUAAAGGUGCCCUCAGACCGAUUGGUAACCGGUCGCAGAGUGUAAUGGCAUAAGGGCGCUUGACUGGGAGACAUACAAGUCGAUCAGGUAGGAAACUAGAGCAUAGUGAUCCGGUGGUUCCGCAUGGAAGGGCCAUCGCUCAAAGGAUAAAAGGUACUCCGGGGAUAACAGGCUGAUCCCUCCCAAGAGCUCAUAUCGACGGAGUGGUUUGGCACCUCGAUGUCGGCUCGUCACAUCCUGGGGCUGGAGAAGGUCCCAAG
Molecule: ribosomal RNA, 2537 nt
Filed under: metagenome
Description: bacterial LSU rRNA
Rfam family: Bacterial large subunit ribosomal RNA
Source: RNAcentral